UGGACAUCUGUGGAUUAGGUGAAGGAGGGGUUGAGGUCAGGAGGUGAGGACAGCGAUGUGUUGAUACAGGGGAGACAGAUGGACAUCUGUGGAUUAGGUGAAGGAGGGGUUGAGGUCAGGAGGUGAGGACAGCGAUGUGUUGAUACAGGGGAGACAGAUGGACAUCUGUGGAUUAGGUGAAGGAGGGGUUGAGGUCAGGAGGUGAGGACAGCGAUGUGUUGAUACAGGGGAGACAGAUGGACAUCUGUG
This is a long non-coding RNA of Oncorhynchus keta (chum salmon), 249 nucleotides long. RefSeq lists it as uncharacterized. NCBI's taxonomy places the organism in Eukaryota, Metazoa, Chordata, Actinopteri, Salmoniformes, Salmonidae. The transcript is spliced from 4 exons. The record is from RefSeq and is a predicted model, not a curated record.